UUUUGCUUAAACAUCACACAGUUUUAAAGCUUAAAACAAAGCUUAUCUCGUUUCAUAUUGCGUGGAACAUGAUUAGACAGCUCUGGGAGAUGCUUUUUAUUGAUAUA
This 107-nucleotide microRNA precursor is filed under the name Pachycladon fastigiatum. RNAcentral describes it as "Pfa-miR852-like 2". The record is from RNAcentral. Lineage: Eukaryota; Viridiplantae; Streptophyta; Magnoliopsida; Brassicales; Brassicaceae.